This 491-nucleotide ribosomal RNA is filed under the name uncultured bacterium. RNAcentral describes it as "partial 16S ribosomal RNA". It matches the Rfam family "Bacterial small subunit ribosomal RNA", at positions 29 to 506 of the family's 1533-position model. The record is from RNAcentral.
AGUGAACGCUGGCGGUAGGCCUAACACAUGCAAGUCGAACGGCAGCAUAGUAAGAGCUUGCUCUUACGGGUGGCGAGUGGCGGACGGGUGAGGAAUACAUCGGAAUCUACUUUUUCGUGGGGGAUAACGCAGGGAAACUUACGCUAAUACCGCAUACGACCUACGGGUGAAAGCAGGGGAUCUUCGGACCUUGCGCGAUUGAAUGAGCCGAUGUCGGAUUAGCUAGUUGGCGGGGUAAAGGCCCACCAAGGCGACGAUCCGUAGCUGGUCUGAGAGGAUGAUCAGCCACACUGGAACUGAGACACGGUCCAGACUCCUACGGGAGGCAGCAGUGGGGAAUAUUGGACAAUGGGCGCAAGCCUGAUCCAGCCAUACCGCGUGGGUGAAGAAGGCCUUCGGGUUGUAAAGCCCUUUUGUUGGGAAAGAAAAGCAGCAGGUUAAGACCCCGCUGUUCUGACGGUACCCAAAGAAUAAGCACCGGCUAACUUCGU